RNAcentral lists this small RNA (1439 nucleotides) under Histoplasma capsulatum var. duboisii H88. RNAcentral's name for it is "Histoplasma capsulatum H88 hypothetical RNA". The record is from RNAcentral. Lineage: Eukaryota; Fungi; Ascomycota; Eurotiomycetes; Onygenales; Ajellomycetaceae.
UUGGUCUGCAUUUAUCCAUGGGCAAGUAAUGUAUGAAGGAGCAUUGGCCAUUGUUGACCGGGCUUGUUUUAUCUAUUUUUGGGGACAGGAUCUUGGGGCCAGAUUCGGUACAGAGAAGCUCUGGAUGUUAUCAAAAUAGCACGCACGAAUCCGCUCAGUGGGUAUUUUAAUUUUCUCAUGGACAAGCAAGCAAUCAAGCAACUCUCCCUGGGCAGUUAACAGCUGCUAACUGUCUCGGAAUAACUAUAUAUACACAUACAAAAGGUGAUAACUCAUUGACAUGUCGUUGGGAUACUUUCACUUAAAAUGAAGAUAUACCACAUCCAUUAACCACACGCAAGCAUACGUCCCACUUCCCGCUCAUGCUUAGAGACCGGUGUUGGGGAAUCGGAGGGCACCCGGCAAUUCUGGAUUUCUGAUCAAUAAUAGAAUUGCACAUCCGUCACGUAGGCAUCCCUCGGUUAUCCUCAAGGAGCUGUCCGCCGUUGCCGUUGUCGCCGACUUGAACGCCCCACACCCUCCAUCGAACAUCUUCAAUAACAUCCGCCCUAAGCCAUAUUCCUUUGAAGGUCUUCCUGCAGCGUUUUUCUCCCGUAGCGAGUUUUGUUCGGUCAUCAUUUGAGUCCAGCCAUGCGAAAAGGAGUCUGAGUUGCCACAGCCGAUCCCUGACCGUAUCAUCCCCAUCGCCUUGACCAGUUGCAGCGUCCACCAAAUGCUGGACCGUCUUUUCAAGCACGAGCCUCGUAUCCACUGCACUUGGACGCAGCCAGGAAACUGGCCAAAUAAUAAUUUCGGAGUGGUCCCUGGCAUAAAUCUCAAUAGGCUGUUGAGAUGGUACUGAGGGUAUCACUAGCGCCUUGUCACCCAUAUCAAGAGGUCGGAAGGUGCGAAGAUUGAAAAUCCACUCCCAGAGGUGGCGUGCGGGGAAUCGGACUUGAAUCGAUGAUUUUCCUUGGGAAUACAAGAUAGGUGCUGCUGCAUUCGGCGUAGUGUUGACUGCCCGAGAGUAACCAGGGGAGGAAGAUGAAGGGAUAUCCUGGACGUCGCUCAAUGCCAUCAGGGAUGAGGAAAAUUCCGAGGUAGAGGAACCAGUAUAAACAGCUCGCCUACGGAGAUAAACAGAUUGGUCACCCAAGCGGAAUUUGUCUCGGAGAUCGGGGUUGUCAGCAAAGUCGAGAGUCAGAUCCCAGUGAUCCGGGCUUUGUAUCUUCACAGUAGCGAGAUCAUCUAUAUUAGGGAGUAGGCAUGGUGCUGUUGUAAGCUGACUUUCGCCUGUUUUGAGCGUUAGAGAUACCGGUAUUGUUACCGCACGCCGUGUGUCGAGGUCGCGCGGAACAAGACACCUUGGCUCUGCCGCGAGGACCCACAGAUGGCGAAAGGCUUGGAGAUGGCAUUUGUUGUCAAGAACAGUGGUGGGAAAUACGGGAUAAAAGGAGCAA